RNAcentral lists this microRNA precursor (84 nucleotides) under Gorilla gorilla gorilla (western lowland gorilla). RNAcentral describes it as "mir-548 microRNA precursor family". It matches the Rfam family "mir-548 microRNA precursor family". The record is from Rfam by way of RNAcentral. Lineage: Eukaryota; Metazoa; Chordata; Mammalia; Primates; Hominidae.
UAUUAGGUUGGUGCAAAAGUAAUUGCAGUUUUCGCCAUUAAAAGUAAUGGCGAAAACUGCAAUUAUUUUUUCAUCAACCUAAUA